UCCGUAGGUGAACCUGCGGAGGGAUCAUUACACAAAUAUGAAGGCGGGCUGGAACCUCUCGGGGUUACAGCCUUGCUGAAUUAUUCACCCUUGUCUUUUGCGUACUUCUUGUUUCCUUGGUGGGUUCGCCCACCACUAGGACAAACAUAAACCUUUUGUAAUUGCAAUCAGCGUCAGUAACAAAUUAAUAAUUACAACUUUCAACAACGGAUCUCUUGGUUCUGGCAUCGAUGAAGAACGCAGCGAAAUGCGAUAAGUAGUGUGAAUUGCAGAAUUCAGUGAAUCAUCGAAUCUUUGAACGCACAUUGCGCCCUUUGGUAUUCCAAAGGGCAUGCCUGUUCGAGCGUCAUUUGUACCCUCAAGCUUUGCUUGGUGUUGGGCGUCUAGUCUCUAGCUUUGCUGGAGACUCGCCUUAAAGUAAUUGGCAGCCGGCCUACUGGUUUCGGAGCGCAGCACAAGUCGCACUCUCUAUCAGCAAAGGUCUAGCAUCCAUUAAGCCUUUUUUUCAACUUUUGACCUCGGAUCAGGUAGGGAUACCCGCUGAACUUAAGCAUAUCAAUAAGCGGAGGAAAAGAAACCAACAGGGAUUGCCCUAGUAACGGCGAGUGAAGCGGCAACAGCUCAAAUUUGAAAUCUGGCUCUUUUAGAGUCCGAGUUGUAAUUUGCAGAGGGCGCUUUGGCUUUGGCAGCGGUCCAAGUUCCUUGGAACAGGACGUCAUAGAGGGUGAGAAUCC
This 734-nucleotide ribosomal RNA is filed under the name uncultured Alternaria. Its description in RNAcentral is "eukaryotic LSU rRNA". The stretch from base 514 to 734 matches the Rfam family "Eukaryotic large subunit ribosomal RNA", at positions 1 to 221 of the family's 3401-position model. The record is from RNAcentral. Lineage: Eukaryota; Fungi; Ascomycota; Dothideomycetes; Pleosporales; Pleosporaceae.